UACGUAGGGCGCAAGCGUUGUCCGGAAGUAUUGGGCGUAAAGAGCUCGUAGGCGGCUUGUCACGUCGGUUGUGAAAGCCCGGGGCUUAACCCCGGGUCUGCAGUCGAUACGGGCUAGCUAGAGUGUGGUAGGGGAGAUCGGAAUUCCUGGUGUAGCGGUGAAAUGCGCAGAUAUCAGGAGGAACACCGGUGGCGAAGGCGGAUCUCUGGGCCAUUACUGACGCUGAGGAGCGAAAGCGUGGGGAGCGAACAGG
This 253-nucleotide ribosomal RNA is filed under the name uncultured bacterium. RNAcentral describes it as "partial 16S ribosomal RNA". It matches the Rfam family "Bacterial small subunit ribosomal RNA", at positions 524 to 776 of the family's 1533-position model. The record is from RNAcentral.